GCGGGCGUGGUGAAAUUGGUAGACGCGCCGGACUCAAAAUCCGGUUCCGCAAGGAGUGUCGGUUCGAGCCCGACCGCCCGCA
RNAcentral lists this transfer RNA (82 nucleotides) under Sphingomonas lenta. It matches the Rfam family "tRNA". From Rfam's summary of the family: Transfer RNA (tRNA) molecules are approximately 80 nucleotides in length. Their secondary structure includes four short double-helical elements and three loops (D, anti-codon, and T loops). Lineage: Bacteria; Pseudomonadati; Pseudomonadota; Alphaproteobacteria; Sphingomonadales; Sphingomonadaceae. RNAcentral also lists the same sequence under 3 other names. The record is from Rfam by way of RNAcentral.